UACGUAGGGUGCGAGCGUUAAUCGGAAUUACUGGGCGUAAAGCGUGCGCAGGCGGUUUUCCAAGACAGAUGUGAAAUCCCCGGGCUCAACCUGGGAAUGGCAUUUGUGACUGGAAGGCUAGAGUGUGUCAGAGGGGGGUAGAAUUCCGACGUGUAGCAGUGAAAUGCGUAGAGAUGUGGAGGAAUACCGAUGGCGAAGGCAGCCCCUGGGAUAACACUGAACCGCCUGCAGGCACCGAAAGGC
This 243-nucleotide ribosomal RNA is filed under the name uncultured bacterium. RNAcentral's name for it is "partial 16S ribosomal RNA". It matches the Rfam family "Bacterial small subunit ribosomal RNA", at positions 524 to 761 of the family's 1533-position model. The record is from RNAcentral.